This 81-nucleotide transfer RNA is filed under the name Echinostoma caproni. It matches the Rfam family "tRNA". Rfam says of the family: Transfer RNA (tRNA) molecules are approximately 80 nucleotides in length. The record is from Rfam by way of RNAcentral. Lineage: Eukaryota; Metazoa; Platyhelminthes; Trematoda; Plagiorchiida; Echinostomatidae.
GGCCUCGUAGCUCAGCUGGUGGAGCGUACGCGUACACAACGUAGUCCCCUCCACGCGUGGGUUCGAAUCCUACCUAGGCUA